This is a non-coding RNA of Alternaria conjuncta, 137 nucleotides long. NCBI's taxonomy places the organism in Eukaryota, Fungi, Ascomycota, Dothideomycetes, Pleosporales, Pleosporaceae. The record is from the annotation of a RefSeq genome assembly.
GGAGCCUUGGCGCAAUGGUAGCGCGUUGGUUUUCGGUUGAAAACAUAAAACACCAAAGGUAUGAUCUAAUCCCUAAAAAGCUCCACAUGUCUAACGUUCCUCGAAACAGGUUGUGGGUUCGAUCCCCAUGGGCUUCG